RNAcentral lists this ribosomal RNA (221 nucleotides) under uncultured bacterium. RNAcentral describes it as "partial 16S ribosomal RNA". It matches the Rfam family "Bacterial small subunit ribosomal RNA", at positions 524 to 744 of the family's 1533-position model. The record is from RNAcentral.
UACGAAGGGGGCUAGCGUUGUCCGGAGUUACUGGGCGUAAAGCGCACGCAGGCGGUCAGAUCAGUCUGGAGUGACAGUCGUCGGCUUAACCGACGAAGUGUUCUGGAAACUGUCUGACUUGAGGGCUUCAGAGGGACACGGAAUUCCGGGUGGAGUGGUGAAAUGCGUAGAUAUCCGGAGGAACACCAAUGGCGAAGGCAGUGUCCUGGGAAGUACCUGAC